UAUUCGAAUGGGUAUUCGAGUACAAAUAAUCGCAAAACUAUCAGCUCAAGUUAACGAUAUCUUUGGGUUACAACAGUAGGCUUGCGAUUUGAUGUACAGAUUGUCACCACAGCAAUUUAACGACAAAAAGAUCAACCAAAACAGUUUACUCUCCCAUUCAUGCAAUUUAUCUACAACCAAUAGCUUUCAUUAAACAUUCAGCUCUCACCCAGUCAACUUUGUAACCCUUAACCGAUUAUUGAAAUUAAAUACAUGAGCAGAUAGUUAUGAUUGUUCAGUGUUAAAUUGUGCAUUGAGUGUUGGAUUAAACCAUGCCAAUCUAUUAGUUACGUUCAUUACAGUCUCACCAUUGUGAUUGGAGAUUUUUGGUGAAAGAUCAAAAUGUCUUAUGUUUACACAUCUUUUGGGAUUAUGACCAUCUUUUUGAGUGAGAAUUCCAGGACAAAGGAACUUGUUGGUAAAAACUUGAGAUGAUUUCGAUUAAACUCAGGGUUAUAUGAUUUAAUAAAACAUCUGUAUUGAAUUUAUCAUGCAUCAAACAAAUUUUCUCGAUAGGAUUUGGUUUUACAUUUGAUUAUUUGAACUGUUCAUUUACUGAGUAAUACAAAGUGAAAAUUGACUUUCCAGGCUGUGGACAUGAAGAGUUACUGCGCGUCAAAGAAAAGUCAUAUAUUGACAAUUUUCAAAUGCAUUAGUCAGUCAUCAACUUCAAUUGGUAUUGUUUCAAAAGCUGGUAAACUGACAUUUCCCUUCGGAUCAAAAUCUUAUUUUCGCUUAUUAAAACAACUAUCAUUUUCUAUUGUUAUUUUUGAUACUUUUGUUUCAAAACUAGAAUGAAAAUUACAAUUUUUAUGAUGAUUGUUAACGGGCUACACCGGUAACCAGCCAUGAGAGCUAGACGCUUAAUGAAAGCUAUUGGCUGUAGAUAAAUGAUGUCAACAGGUAAAUAGAUAAGCAAAUGAUUAACAGUAUCUUUGGGUUAAAAUAUCAGACUAUGAUAUUUACAGAUGCAAAACUGUACCCACAACAAUUUUUUACCAGUCGAUUAAAUCGAUUUUCCUUCCCAUUCAGCCAAUUUAUCUGCAACCAAUAGCUUUCAUUGAGCAUUUAGCUCUCACCGAGUCAACUUUGUAACUCUUUAUACAAUUAGUUGAAACUCAAUGAACUACAUGAGCAAAUUGAAUUGUUUCUGUAUGUUGAUAGGUGUAUGUAGAUGAACAAAACCGGCAAAAAUAAUCAAAAUGAACCAGACUCGACAAAAUUCCACAAAAAAAUUCCAAUGUUUAACAAUUGAUGUUAAUAUGAGUCCAUUUAAGAAAAGUUUGACGAUUAGCGAAGUGAACCAUUGACAUUUUCAAAUCCGAUACAGUUGACAAAACACGUAAUCCAAAAUAUACAAUCAGAAUUACUCUUAAAUUGUCGCUGUUGAAAACGCUGUUCACAUUUCAAACAUGUUCUUUGUACCAGAAGUAAUUUCAAUUGAAAGCACAAUUUAUUGCAAUUGGUUUUAUUGUUGAGACACUGAAAAUUGAGAACUAUUUUUAAGGAUUCACAUCGAAAUGGAUUAUAUAAAUUAACUAUUUCCAUCAAUGUGACCAAUUAACUAUGCUGAGAUAGUUUGAGCGUUUCUGAUUAUUUUAUUUUAUCGCAACUUUUAUGGUUGUUCAAUGUUAGAUUAGGCAUUGGGUGUUGAAUGACCAUUUCAAUCUGAAUAUUCAUUGCAGUCAAUCCUUUUAUGAACUGACUGACGUUUAGAUUUUAUUCAUCUGUUAACUUUAUAUUUGAUUUCACACAUUACACUUGACACUAACAUCUUUUUUUUGAUGAAGAAAGCAAAGAAAACGGAAGUAGCAAUGCAAAUAAUGAAAAAUUUAAUUGUUUAUCGUUGUAAAUGUAGUAAAAUCAUAACAUUGUUUCAAUUGAGAUUUUAGGCUUUUCUCUGUAUUUGUCUAUCCAGGGUGUGGACAUUAUUUUGACGAGAAGUCGAUUGACAACAGUCCAUUUUAGGUAUAUGCUCUAACUAAAUCAUUCGAAACUUUACAAAGUUUAAACAACAAAUCACAUGUUGAAGAAUUUAAUGAGGUUGAGAACGAUUCGAUCCAGAAUUUGAAGCUUGGAAUAACCUUUUUAUUUGUUCAGUAUAAUUGCCCAUAAGUUGAGUCGAAACAGCAUAUGCAACAAAUUGAAUUAAUGCCACAAUUCCAGCAAGCAAAAGGUCAGUAUCUUCGCUGGAAUUUCCCUUAUUUUCGUCAACAGAACCUGGAUUCAAUAUCUUUCUAGUAAUUUCAUCUCUUUUAGCCUCUCCACGUGCUGCCGCUAUUCCUCUUACCCCUGCAAUUAACAUGGCGGAAAAGAGAUAGAUGAAGAUUCUACAAAUUCUCAAGCAAUUUCUCCAUUGUUUGAUGAUCGCCAUCAAUACGAGUCCGUCAAAGAAAAGCUUCAAGAGAACGAGUACAAUGAUUACUGGAUUGGGAGAUAUGAGUGUUGAUACCAGAGAAAGUCCAUCAACCGUAACAAGGAAUCCAAAAGCUGCUUUCAAAACGGUUUUCGAUUUGCUUUCGACUUUCAUCUCCAUGAUUGUACAACUCAGAAUAUACGAUACGAAACUCGGAAGAAAACUAAAUCAGAAUUUAUUCACUGAAUGAGUAGAGACACUAUGAAAGGACCCACUUGAAGACCACCUAAAUAAAUCAACGACGUAAUUGCACCGACAAAAUUAGCUGUAAUAUGGAACGAAAAUAUUCCAAUCGAAAAUUGACUUUCAAGAAUUGUGAACUUGUACCUUGACUACAAAUUGACAACAUGUAACUUCACUGAAUUAUAAUGAAGACAACUUGAAUAAAUGCAAGCAAACUAA
This is a long non-coding RNA of Tetranychus urticae (two-spotted spider mite), 2857 nucleotides long. RefSeq lists it as uncharacterized. The record is from RefSeq and is a predicted model, not a curated record. NCBI's taxonomy places the organism in Eukaryota, Metazoa, Arthropoda, Arachnida, Trombidiformes, Tetranychidae.